This 69-nucleotide transfer RNA is filed under the name Urocitellus parryii (Arctic ground squirrel). RNAcentral's name for it is "Spermophilus parryii (Arctic ground squirrel) tRNA". It matches the Rfam family "tRNA". From Rfam's summary of the family: Transfer RNA (tRNA) molecules are approximately 80 nucleotides in length. Their secondary structure includes four short double-helical elements and three loops (D, anti-codon, and T loops). Further hydrogen bonds mediate the characteristic L-shaped molecular structure. tRNAs have two regions of fundamental functional importance: the anti-codon, which is responsible for specific mRNA codon recognition, and the 3' end, to which the tRNAs corresponding amino acid is attached (by aminoacyl-tRNA synthetases). tRNAs cope with the degeneracy of the genetic code in two manners: having more than one tRNA (with a specific anti-codon) for a particular amino acid; and 'wobble' base-pairing, i.e. permitting non-standard base-pairing at the 3rd anti-codon position. RNAcentral also lists the same sequence under 1 other name. Lineage: Eukaryota; Metazoa; Chordata; Mammalia; Rodentia; Sciuridae. The record is from Rfam by way of RNAcentral.
GGGGUUGUAGCUCAUUGGUAGAGCACUUGCCUAGCACAUAUGAGGCACUGGGCUCAAAACCCAGCACCA